UACCCACCCGGGCGCCCCUGGGCCCCACCGCGGGCGCCCGCCGGAGGUCACCAAACUCUUGAUAAUUUAUGGCCUCUCUGAGUCUUCUGUACUGAAUAAGUCAAAACUUUCAACAACGGAUCUCUUGGUUCUGGCAUCGAUGAAGAACGCAGCGAAAUGCGAUAAGUAAUGUGAAUUGCAGAAUUCAGUGAAUCAUCGAAUCUUUGAACGCACAUUGCGCCCGCCAGUAUUCUGGCGGGCAUGCCUGUUCGAGCGUCAUUUCAACCAUCAAGCCCCGGGCUUGUGUUGGGGACCUGCGGCUGCCGCAGGCCCUGAAAAGCAGUGGCGGGCUCGCUGUCACACCGAGCGUAGUAGCAUACAUCUCGCUCUGGGCGUGCUGCGGGUUCCGGCCGUUAAACCACCUUUUAACCCAAGGUGACCUCGGAUGCAUGUAGCAGUCAGAUCCCCU
RNAcentral lists this ribosomal RNA (448 nucleotides) under Chaetomium globosum. Its description in RNAcentral is "eukaryotic LSU rRNA". The stretch from base 105 to 258 matches the Rfam family "5.8S ribosomal RNA". The record is from RNAcentral. Lineage: Eukaryota; Fungi; Ascomycota; Sordariomycetes; Sordariales; Chaetomiaceae.